UGGGUCUCGCUCGUUACCUGACUUAACAGGAUGCUUCACAGUACGAACUGACGACGGCCAUGCACCACCUCUCAGCUAAUCCGGCAAAGUCUUCAGCCUGGCCUUCAUAUUGCUGUCGGUCCCGGUAAGAUUUCCGGCGUUGAAUCCAAUUAAACCGCAAGCUCCACCCGUUGUGGUGCUCCCCCGCCAAUUCCUUUAAGUUUCAGCCUUGCGGCCGUACUUCCCAGGUGGCUCGCUUCACGGCUUCCCUACGGCACCGACAACGGUCGCACCGUGGCCGACACCUAGCGAGUAUCGUUUACGGCUAGGACUACCCGGGUAUCUAAUCCGGUUCGUGCCCCUAGCUUUCGUCCCUUGCCGUCAGGUCCGUUCUGGUGAGACGCCUUCGCCACUGGUGGUCCUUCAAGGAUUACAAGAUUUCACCCCUACCCCUGAAGUACCUCUCACCUCUCCCGGCCUCGAGCCAGACAGUAUCUCCUGAAAGCCUGACAGUUAAGCUGCCAGAUUUCUCAAGAGACUUAUCCGGCCGGCUACAGACCCUUUAGACCCAAUAAUAACGGUUACCACUCGAGCCGCCGGUGUUACCGCGGCGGCUGGCACCGGUCUUGCCCGGCCCUUGCUAUGAAAUGCUUUUUAGGCAUCUCGACAGCCAGAUUUGUAACCUGGCACCCGAGGUUCCCUUAUCGCUGUUGCCAGCAUUGUAAAGUUUUCGCGCCUGCUGCACCCCGUAGGGGCUGGAUUCGUGUCUCAGAAUCCAUCUCCGGGCUCUUGCUCUCACAACCCGUACCCGUCGUAGGCUA
RNAcentral lists this ribosomal RNA (800 nucleotides) under unidentified archaeon. RNAcentral describes it as "partial 16S ribosomal RNA". The record is from RNAcentral.